This is a long non-coding RNA of Hippocampus zosterae (dwarf seahorse), 1531 nucleotides long. RefSeq lists it as uncharacterized. The transcript has 2 exons. The record is from RefSeq and is a predicted model, not a curated record. NCBI's taxonomy places the organism in Eukaryota, Metazoa, Chordata, Actinopteri, Syngnathiformes, Syngnathidae.
UUAUUUUCUUAUUUUUUUCGGGCAUGUAUUAUGGUCAUUGAUGGAAACAUAAGUAUUUAUUAAACCUAUAAAAAAGUUACUGUUAAAAAAAGAAAAAAGUUUAAUAAUAAUAAUAUCUAAAUCCAAAUAAAAAAUAAUUUGUAUUCAUUUUUACGUCUCAACGACCAUAAAAUAAAUAUACAUUUUUCAAAACAUAAAUAACAAAUACAUAAACUUAAAUAAAAUGAAUGAAAAUUUGAAGGGACAAAAUCACUCCAACAUAGUUUCCAAAGUGUGUUAAAUGCUUAAUGUAGGGGUCUCCAAGUCCGGUCUUUGAAGCGUGCCUAUCACGCUGGUUCCUCACGCUAGAACAGCGUGAGGCAGAUGUUCCAAAACACCUGAUUCAUAUGAACUGCUCUCCUCCAGCCACUUCACCCCGCCUGGUCGGAAACACCCCCACAAUUGGGUGACAAAAAACACGCUGGAUAGGGGGUGCCCAGGACCAGACUUAGAGACCCCUGACAUUAAGAUAAGAUAUCCUUUAUCUGACCCACACUGGGGAAAUUUACAGUCUACAGCAGCAAAAUUGGGGUGGGUAGAAAGAAGAAAAACAAAGUGUUGGCAUUCACAAAAAUAAAUGUUUCCGUUUCAAUUAACACGGUUCAAUAAAAUGCAAUAUAAAUAUACACAUAGAUAAGGUAAAGUAACCAAAGCCAUAAAUGAACCAAAUUAGAACAACCACAGUUUUACAAAUACCUUUAUAUCUGCAUCAACCAAAAAAUAAAUGCAUUUUAGGCGUGUUGCAGUGUUUCAGUGCCCCUAAUAAAGUGUCCGGUGUGUGUAUUACGCCAUCUAGUGGACAAAAUUCAUGUGCUACUUUCGUGGGCUUUGCACUGCAGAGACUAUAAAUCAGGCAUUAAAUAAAGGAUAUUAAACAAAUAUAUAGUAUUGCUGAAUACAAUAUGAACAUUUGAAGUCCUCACUUGCACUAGUAAUUGUUUAAAAACAUUUUUUUCAAUUCCCAAAUAUUGUCAUGUUUUCCGUAUUUAAACAGCCAAAGUUUUUAGACUCACAAGUUAAAUUUGAUCACUGAGCAGACAUACAAAAAGGCAGCUGGGAACAUUCUGUUUUGUCUGUCUUGUUAAAUUCUAUGUCAAGCUGACACGGGGUGAAUCCAUUGCCGUCUUUGUACGGUCAUUUUUUUCUGCUUGUUGCACAUGGGAAGAGUCCAAAGAAUGAAAGUGUGUCACAUUGUCUCAGCUCUGGCAAAUUUUUUUUUCUUUUGGGCGGGACCAUGAGUGUUCUAAUUUCCCAUAUUGGUGGAGGAAGAAAAAGGCCAAGUUGGACACAUAUCAACUGAAUCAUGCAUCAACGUUGCUACCGUGAGCCAUUUAGAUUACACCCGCUAUGCCGGAAUUAUUUGCAAGAAAUAGUUUAACUCAGAUUCACCAUGUUUGAAUGUAGCCACUGAAGUUGAUAUAUAUAUUUAUACACACACACACACACUGUUAACUAUGGCAUGAAACAAUUGCAAUAAAAUGUUUUAAAUGUG